AAAAAUUAUUUUAGUAUUUGUCCAGUAGGUUUCCUCAAGGAGAAAGCCCCA
This 51-nucleotide small nuclear RNA is filed under the name Oncorhynchus mykiss (rainbow trout). RNAcentral describes it as "U7 small nuclear RNA". It matches the Rfam family "U7 small nuclear RNA". Rfam says of the family: Animal histone pre-mRNAs are spliced by a different mechanism than nuclear pre-mRNAs and self-splicing introns. This processing involves the U7 snRNP, which contains only one RNA species: U7. The 5' end of U7 RNA is thought to base-pair to a conserved spacer element downstream of the cleavage site in histone pre-mRNA. The record is from Rfam by way of RNAcentral. Lineage: Eukaryota; Metazoa; Chordata; Actinopteri; Salmoniformes; Salmonidae.